Long non-coding RNA from Micropterus dolomieu (smallmouth bass), 656 nucleotides. RefSeq lists it as uncharacterized. The transcript is spliced from 3 exons. The record is from RefSeq and is a predicted model, not a curated record. Lineage: Eukaryota; Metazoa; Chordata; Actinopteri; Centrarchiformes; Centrarchidae.
UCCUGCUCCUCCUCUCACGUCCAGGAGGAAAUUGGAUUUCUUAAGUGAAGAAUCUGCAGUCUCAAAAAUACAUGUCUGCACACCUUUAAAGUGUUUUUGUGUUGUUGAGAAGUUGCGGCCAGCAGUUGCUGACUAUUACCUCAUCAAAGCAAAUCUUUCCAAUGCCCUGCCCAGGCAAGCACCCCUUGCCGACCCAAAGAACCUACCUGCACACCUGGCUGAGCAGAGCACCAGGUUCCUAGCAGCACAGAAAGUUCAGGAGGAACCAAAUAGUGAGCCUGAGCCCCUCACUGCCAAGACCACAGACCCCAACUGAGUAGGUCCCAGGGAAAGUGUCAGCACCCUUGAGCCUCGUGCAGCAGACUCCCAACUGGAUGCUAGAAACACAAGAGAAGGAUGAACAAACUCCUUUGAGACUGGACCCAGGGUGUGUUCCAGAUCCUAUGAUCCAGGAGACAACAGAGUUGGUACCAGAAACACCAGAAGACCAGAUGCCACAAACCCAAGCAGAGGAGGUGCAGAAGCCCUAGCCAGGCAGGACCUGGCAUGUGCUCAAAAACCCAUCAUGCAGGAUGUGAAUUGGGGAAUCAGAAUAGGAAUCAGAAUCGGCUUUAUUGCAAGGAAGUAGAAGCUGCAGCAGGAGCACGGACCGCAUG